GUAUGUCAGUACCUUCAGUGUGUCGCACAGACUUGCUGACAGGGGACAAAACAAAAACCACAGAAACAAAAGCAGCUCAAGAUCUUGUUCUGAUGAAAUGAGAACUCUCUCCCCAGUGUCUGUACGCUUCGUUUAAUGGACCAUGGGAGACUCAGGAUUCACCAGUGUCUCAGGAAGCUGCAGCAGGCAAUGGCAGAUGGCAGCAGGAACACGAGGUGAUCUGACGGAACAGCAGUGCCCUGGAAACAUCUUACUGCACAAAAAUCAAAAGGAAAUUGGAGAUUGGCUUUGUUAAGGACAUCUCUUGUUCUGUGGUGCUGUCGCACAGUCGUUGCACGGAAGUGUCUACAGGUGGUAAUGAGGAGGAAUCAAAGCUUCAGAGGGAGCUGCAGGAACAGCUGGACCUCCUAAGAGCUGCAAAAGAAGAUUCCCCAGCUAAAACAUGUCCACGGAGAGUCAUAUGUGCAUAGCUGUUAGGAUUUUGGAAUCGGUGUGGUGGAAUGACAGGGAGUUGAUGAGUAAAUAUUAAUUGAGAGAGCA
This is a long non-coding RNA of Centrocercus urophasianus (Greater sage-grouse), 540 nucleotides long. RefSeq lists it as uncharacterized. Lineage: Eukaryota; Metazoa; Chordata; Aves; Galliformes; Phasianidae. The transcript is spliced from 2 exons. The record is from RefSeq and is a predicted model, not a curated record.